This 253-nucleotide ribosomal RNA is filed under the name uncultured bacterium. RNAcentral describes it as "partial 16S ribosomal RNA". It matches the Rfam family "Bacterial small subunit ribosomal RNA", at positions 524 to 776 of the family's 1533-position model. The record is from RNAcentral.
UACGUAGGGUGCGAGCGUUGUCCGGAAUUACUGGGCGUAAAGAGCUCGUAGGUGGUUUGUCGCGUUGUCCGUGAAAACUCACAACUCAAUUGUGGGCGUGCGGGCGAUACGGGCAGACUGGAGUACUGCAGGGGAGACUGGAAUUCCUGGUGUAGCAGUGAAAUGCGUAGAUAUCAGGAGGAACACCGGUGGCGAAGGCGGUUCUCUGGGCCUUACCUGACGCUGAGGAGCGAAAGCGUGGGGAGCAAACAGG